GACCGCGUAGCUCAGUUGGAAGAGCAUUGGGCUAGCAUUGCAAAGGUCGUAGGUUCGAUUCCCACCGUGGCCG
RNAcentral lists this transfer RNA (73 nucleotides) under Paramuricea clavata. It matches the Rfam family "tRNA". From Rfam's summary of the family: Transfer RNA (tRNA) molecules are approximately 80 nucleotides in length. Their secondary structure includes four short double-helical elements and three loops (D, anti-codon, and T loops). The record is from Rfam by way of RNAcentral. Lineage: Eukaryota; Metazoa; Cnidaria; Anthozoa; Malacalcyonacea; Plexauridae.